CCCGCAACGAGCGCAACCCUUAUCCUUUGUUGCCAGCGGUUCGGCCGGGAACUCAAAGGAGACUGCCAGUGAUAAACUGGAGGAAGGUGGGGUUGACGUCAAGUCAUCAUGGCCCUUACCAGUAGGGCUACACACGUGCUACAAUGGCGCACACAAAGAGAAGCGACCUCGCGAGAGCAAGCGGACCUCAUAAAGUGCGUCGUAGUCCGGAUCGGAGUCUGCAACUCGACUCCCUGAAGUCCGAAUCGCUAGUAAUCGUAGAUCAGAAUGCUACGGUGAAUACCUU
RNAcentral lists this ribosomal RNA (286 nucleotides) under Buttiauxella izardii. RNAcentral's name for it is "partial 16S ribosomal RNA". It matches the Rfam family "Bacterial small subunit ribosomal RNA", at positions 1086 to 1372 of the family's 1533-position model. Lineage: Bacteria; Pseudomonadati; Pseudomonadota; Gammaproteobacteria; Enterobacterales; Enterobacteriaceae. The record is from RNAcentral.